Long non-coding RNA from Alosa sapidissima (American shad), 418 nucleotides. RefSeq lists it as uncharacterized. The record is from RefSeq and is a predicted model, not a curated record. Lineage: Eukaryota; Metazoa; Chordata; Actinopteri; Clupeiformes; Clupeidae. The transcript is spliced from 2 exons.
CACUCUAAAAAAUGCUGGGUUAUUUUCUCAACCCAAACGCUGAGUUAAAACUGUUGGGUCAUUGUGUGGGGUUGUUUUUACUCAUGUUGGGUUAUUUUCUGUAACCCAGCUUGUUGGGUUGAUAGUUUAGGACAGCGCCCCUCCUCUCCCCCACCUGACGUGAGCACACUACUCAGCACCAGGGUAACUUUAACACAGCUGCAUAGUUAUUUGAGAGUUCGGGGGAAAUCGUUAUUCUUUCAACCGUCCAUGCAGUCCAGCAGCUUUCAACAUGCAGUGGAAAUCAGGCGAUUUUGGAAGGGCUGACCCCCAAAUGGACCGUGGAAUCUAGCUGUCUUCAUGGAAGUAACUUAUCACAUGCUGAUGCUGCUUUUAGAGUAGGCUAUCCAUUCAAAAAUAAAGUAAACUGUCAAAUAAA